GGUUUGGUCUGACAGAAGAAGCCUAUAUAAGGGAGGAGUAGUGGAGGAGUAGUGGAGGAGUAGUGGAGGAGGAGUGGAGGAGCAGUAGAGGACGAGUUGGUCACUCUUGAAUUGAUUGUGGAAGGAGAAAGACCUGUUUUGUUUUUUUUAUUAAUCCCAAGCUCUGACACUAACGCUAACUCUACUGCCAUCUAGUGGUCACUCUAGUGUACUGCUAUUUUGGUACUUGCGUUCAAACAAUGUCAUCUCAAAGGACGAUGUUUUUUGCAAAUAAAACCCGAACACCCGAACAUAGCCUUACCCCAAUUCGGCCAUGAGCUUUCGAUUGAGACCACCCGCGACUCUGUACGACUUUCGGUUCCGAAGAUACGGCCGUUUUUUUUUACUGUUACACCCACUUCCGGUGGACACAGGAAGUCGGAAAUCCCAAAUGAAAGCUCGCGGCCACUUAUGGGGGGAGCGUUGGCAAGUUAAUGACCAGCCUUGUUCUUACCAGUCCAACACUGGACUGCAGGACAACGUCCAUGUUGGAUGCGGCUUCAAUGUUUCCCGCCAAGGCUUUGAGGUGAACUCCUUUUGGAGCGUCCAUCGUGAGCGAGCGAGUGGGAGACUCCAACCUGAGGAGGAACAAAGAAACGCUGCCUUGUUUCACUCCGGACGACGAUGACAACACAAGAUGGCUGACGAGCUCACCUCAGGUCUUUCAGGAGUUCGGACUUGAGUAGAGGAACCUCCACUGAAUGCUGGAACAAAGCUCCUUCGAGACCUGAUCACGGAUACAUAAACUACAUGGAUUGCAGUAUUCAAACCAACCACCAGAUGGCACUAUUGUUCCUGAAAUGGAUUUUAAUAUUCGCUAGAAAGUGUUUAUUGUUAGCCGUACUGUGAAGUGGCUAGCAAGUCCUCCUCGUGCGCGUGUGUUCCGGUUUUCCUCCCACAUUCCAAAACAUGCAUGGUAGAUUAAUUGGCGACUCUAAAAUAUUUAUAAAUAUCAAAAAUAUCGGUAUAAAUGUGAGUGUGAAUGGUUGUUUGUUUAUAUGUGCCCUGUGAUAAACGGAUGGUCUGUCAUUACGGAAUUCUAAUGUUAAUGGGUGUGGCCAAGACAUUAUUACAAGUAUUUGAUUGAGCCUUAUGAAAUCUGCCUAGCAACAAGUGGCCUCAGUACAGGUCACUAAAUCUUCCAAAAUAUAACUAGUUGAAUUAAAAAAAAAGUGAAAUUAUCAAUAAUACAAUAAUAUAAUAUAAUAAUAAAAAUGAUUGAUAAAGUUAAAUGAUCAAAUUAAUUAUGGACUCCAGCAUAGCGUAACGCUAGUGAGGAUAAGCAGCAUAGAAAAUGGAAAAUUUGUUUCUUUCAUCUUUUUCCGGAUUCCGGAGUCGCCACAGCGGCUCUUUUUGAUCCGUAUACUGAUUUUUGGAUUUAGCCCUUUAUAUUCCAGAUGCCCUUCCUGACAAAUACUGAUGGAUCAAAAUAAAAAACACGUUUUUUAGGAAUACCUGGAAUAUGAAAUGAUAUAUUUUUUUCAUUAUGAAGAUAUUUCAAGAAAACAACCUGACCGGGUCAUUUUUGACCCACUUAUGGAAGGUUGGGGUAGUAACACAAAAACUAAAAUUUCUUAAAAUGUAUAAAAGGUAAGUUAAAAAUGUGAAUGGUAUGAUAUCAAAAAUAUGUUUUUUGAGGAAUACCUGGAAUAUGAAAUGAUUAAAAAAUUCAUUACGAAGAUAUUUCAAGAAAACAACCUGACCGGGUCAUUUUUGACCCACUUAUGGAAGAUUUCUUAAAAUGUCUUAAAAUGUAUAAAAGGUAAGUUAAAAAUGUGAAUGGCAUGAUAUCAAAAACAUGUUUUUUGAGGAAUACCUGGAAUAUGAAAUGAUAAAAAUUUUUCUUUGUACCUGUGAUGCGUAGUUUAUCGGGUCCAAUCACGGCCUGCUUUCCGUCCGCACUGAACAGCAUGUCGCCAGUUUGGGAGCUGAGGAUCAUGUCCGCCGUGUGGCCCUCAGCCUGUUUUGGACCUGCACAGAUGCAGGGAAAAGAACAAAUUGACGGACUUGUCUGGAGUGGAUCUCCUCGGCGUAGAGGGGCAGCAGGAACUCGGAUUCGCCGUCUUCCAGCUUGACGCCGUCAGAGUGGACUUGCAGGAGGCCCAUCCCUUCCUGAGGUCACAUAAUAAACGUAUUUGGGCAAGGAAACAGCAAGUGAGACUAAACCAUACGCACCGAGUUGAACCACAUGACCCUGAAGAUCCAGAUGAUCAAUGAUGAAGCCUCCUGAGAUGCAACAUCAAGCUGAAUGUGACAUCAACAGCAGCGAGAAGAAGCAGUCUGCUGACACCAAGGCAGAUGGAGCUCCAUCUGCAGCUGCCUGCAGCAUGGCCUCCAGUCAGCACUGUCUCAGCGUUUGGCCGCCAUGACGACAAGCAGAGCGCCAAAGGACUGCCGCAAAGGAACGCGUGUUACCUUGUAUUCGUUCCCCCGCAUUAGGAGGCAGGAUGCACACAAAAGGACUUCAUGCUUAUACAGGACAUAAAACACAUGGAACUACAGGUAAAACUACAGUAUCAGAGUGUUAGAUUAA
Non-coding RNA from Doryrhamphus excisus (bluestripe pipefish), 2572 nucleotides. NCBI's taxonomy places the organism in Eukaryota, Metazoa, Chordata, Actinopteri, Syngnathiformes, Syngnathidae. The record is from RefSeq and is a predicted model, not a curated record.